UACAAAAAGAUUCAGUAUUUAAUACAAAAGGCAAAGCCUCAAAACAUUUUCAAUGCGAGCAAACAACAUCCAAUCACAGUAAAACAUUGCUCAAACAUUAUUUCCUACAUAGGUCUUCUGACCUGCAUCUAAAGGUGGAAAGGAUAGGGUGAGUUCACAACUCAGUAGGAAAGUUUAUAACCAUCCUAAGCAUACCCUUAAAAACCUUGAAUUAAAC
Molecule: long non-coding RNA, 217 nt
Filed under: Vitis vinifera (wine grape)
Lineage: Eukaryota; Viridiplantae; Streptophyta; Magnoliopsida; Vitales; Vitaceae
Description: long non-coding RNA (VVIN_LNC000469)
Source: RNAcentral